Molecule: unclassified non-coding RNA, 177 nt
Filed under: Glomeromycotina sp.
Lineage: Eukaryota; Fungi; Glomeromycota
Description: partial contains small subunit ribosomal RNA, internal transcribed spacer 1, and 5.8S ribosomal RNA
Rfam family: Eukaryotic small subunit ribosomal RNA (bases 1-47)
Source: RNAcentral
AAAGUCGUAACAAGGUUUCCGUAGGUGAACCUGCGGAAGGAUCAUUAUUGAUUUUUUAGCAUUACCUCUUUAGAGGUUUUGCUUUAUACGUAUUUAAAACCCCACUCUUUUUUAUAAAAAAAUAAUUAUCUUAUGAUAAAAUUAAGAUCACUUUCAACAACGGAUCUCUUGGUUCUC